This 710-nucleotide long non-coding RNA is filed under the name Zonotrichia albicollis (white-throated sparrow). RNAcentral's name for it is "lncRNA (ENSZALG00000005833.1)". The record is from RNAcentral. Lineage: Eukaryota; Metazoa; Chordata; Aves; Passeriformes; Passerellidae.
AUGGAAAAAUCUCUUUCUGCAAAUCAGGCCCAUCCACUGACAUUAAUUUCUACCUUCUGUCUGUGCAGGCACAGCUUUAGCACCUCUGGGGAAGUAAUGGCUGUUUUGUUUACAAUGGGCAGCCUGGAUCCAGUUCUUCCUUCCCAAAGUGCAUUUGUGCUGCAGAGAAUAUGUAGGGAUUGUGAAUGUACUCCUAAGUAGCAUUCCACAGUUGAACUAAUUGCCAGGCCAAGCGAGGGACCACAGUAAAUGGGUGAAUAAUUUGAUCCAAGAUGGAUUUGUACUCUACCAACACAGCCUGAAAUCUUCUAAUGCUUUUGGAUUUGACUGUGAGCUGUUCAUUGUUGUUUGAGCCUGUUCUUUUCUAUUACCAUAUUUUCUCUGGAUAUCAUUUCUGUGUACCUUAUCUUUGUAUAAAAGGCCACAUCUUUACCAUAUUUCCAGGGAGUAGUCAGUAGAGGCAUACAAAAUUUACUGCUGUAGACCAAAAUAUGACAGAUAAAGGUAGUGCAUUACAAAGUUCUUGCCCUCAAUCACGCAGAAGGCUCUCUAUGCUUCUGUGAGCAGUGGCACGAGUGUGGCUGCACUGUAAUGGGAGAAGGGUUAACAGCAAACCAAGACAUUUUCUGCAGCAAAAAGAGGUGGACUCUUCUCCAAGCAAUUACCUUUUAUGUAAUAAACAAUGUCAGUGGUCAAUAGAGGGAGUUUUC